RNAcentral lists this ribosomal RNA (511 nucleotides) under uncultured bacterium. Its description in RNAcentral is "bacterial SSU rRNA". It matches the Rfam family "Bacterial small subunit ribosomal RNA", at positions 8 to 509 of the family's 1533-position model. The record is from RNAcentral.
AGAGUUUGAUCCUGGCUCAGGAUGAACGCUAGCUACAGGCUUAACACAUGCAAGUCGAGGGGCAGCGAGAGAAAGCUUGCUUUCUUUGUCGGCGACCGGCGCACGGGUGAGUAACGCGUAUCCAACCUUCCCUAUAGUAGAGGAUAGCCCGGCGAAAGUCGGAUUAAUACUCUAUGUUAUUCAAUGCGGACAUCUAAGUUGAAUCAAAGAUUAAUCGCUAUAGGAUGGGGAUGCGUCUGAUUAGGUUGUUGGCGGGGUAACGGCCCACCAAGCCUACGAUCAGUAGGGGUUCUGAGAGGAAGGUCCCCCACAUUGGAACUGAGACACGGUCCAAACUCCUACGGGAGGCAGCAGUGAGGAAUAUUGGUCAAUGGGCGAGAGCCUGAACCAGCCAAGUAGCGUGCAGGAUGACGGCCCUAUGGGUUGUAAACUGCUUUUAUACGGGGAUAAAGUGAGGGACGUGUCCUUUAUUGUAGGUACCGUAUGAAUAAGGACCGGCUAAUUCCGUGCC